Molecule: non-coding RNA, 30 nt
Filed under: Rattus norvegicus (Norway rat)
Lineage: Eukaryota; Metazoa; Chordata; Mammalia; Rodentia; Muridae
Source: RNAcentral
UAUUUCUGUGUUUUUUAAGGAAACCAAAAU